UGUUUAACUGACAUGAUUGUGGGACGUCCUACCGGUGGACUUAGCCUCUAUCUCUUCUGAUUUAGGGGCGGUCCAGCUAAUAUCCCAUCGCGGUGCUUUUCAUCGAGUGUCGAGGUGGGCCGGUACGUUUACUUUGAACAAAUUAGAGUGCUCAAAGCAGGCCAUCCUCGCCUGAAUACUGUGUGCAUGGAAUAAUGGAAUAGG
This 204-nucleotide ribosomal RNA is filed under the name Dilocantha sp. D2265. RNAcentral's name for it is "partial 18S ribosomal RNA". The record is from RNAcentral. Lineage: Eukaryota; Metazoa; Arthropoda; Insecta; Hymenoptera; Eucharitidae.